This 254-nucleotide ribosomal RNA is filed under the name uncultured bacterium. RNAcentral describes it as "partial 16S ribosomal RNA". It matches the Rfam family "Bacterial small subunit ribosomal RNA", at positions 524 to 776 of the family's 1533-position model. The record is from RNAcentral.
UACGUAGGGGGCGAGCGUUGUCCGGAUUUAUUGGGCGUAAAGAGCUCGUAGGCGGUUUGGUAAGUCGGGUGUGAAAUCUCCAGGCUCAACCUGGAGAGGUCACCCGAGACUGCCAUGACUAGAGUCCGGUAGGGGUGUGUGGAAUUCCUGGUGGAGCGGUGGAAUGCGCAGAUAUCAGGAAGAACACCCGUGGCGAAGGCGGUUCUCUGGGACGGUACUGACGCUGAGACGCGAAAGCGUGGGGAGCGAACAGG